GGAUGAACGCUGGCGGCGUGCCUAAUACAUGCAAGUCGAGCGAACAGACGAGGAGCUUGCUCCUCUGACGUUAGCGGCGGACGGGUGAGUAACACGUGGAUAACCUACCUAUAAGACUGGGAUAACUUCGGGAAACCGGAGCUAAUACCGGAUAAUAUAUUGAACCGCAUGGUUCAAUAGUGAAAGACGGUUUUGCUGUCACUUAUAGAUGGAUCCGCGCCGCAUUAGCUAGUUGGUAAGGUAACGGCUUACCAAGGCAACGAUGCGUAGCCGACCUGAGAGGGUGAUCGGCCACACUGGAACUGAGACACGGUCCAGACUCCUACGGGAGGCAGCAGUAGGGAAUCUUCCGCAAUGGGCGAAAGCCUGACGGAGCAACGCCGCGUGAGUGAUGAAGGUCUUCGGAUCGUAAAACUCUGUUAUUAGGGAAGAACAAAUGUGUAAGUAACUAUGCACGUCUUGACGGUACCUAAUCAGAAAGCCACGGCUAACUACGUG
This 498-nucleotide ribosomal RNA is filed under the name uncultured bacterium. RNAcentral's name for it is "partial 16S ribosomal RNA". It matches the Rfam family "Bacterial small subunit ribosomal RNA", at positions 27 to 507 of the family's 1533-position model. The record is from RNAcentral.